This 593-nucleotide ribosomal RNA is filed under the name Escherichia coli. RNAcentral describes it as "partial 23S ribosomal RNA". It matches the Rfam family "Bacterial large subunit ribosomal RNA", at positions 948 to 1543 of the family's 2925-position model. Lineage: Bacteria; Pseudomonadati; Pseudomonadota; Gammaproteobacteria; Enterobacterales; Enterobacteriaceae. The record is from RNAcentral.
UGCAAACUGCGAAUACCGGAGAAUGUUAUCACGGGAGACACACGGCGGGUGCUAACGUCCGUCGUGAAGAGGGAAACAACCCAGACCGCCAGCUAAGGUCCCAAAGUCAUGGUUAAGUGGGAAACGAUGUGGGAAGGCCCAGACAGCCAGGAUGUUGGCUUAGAAGCAGCCAUCAUUUAAAGAAAGCGUAAUAGCUCACUGGUCGAGUCGGCCUGCGCGGAAGAUGUAACGGGGCUAAACCAUGCACCGAAGCUGCGGCAGCGACACUAUGUGUUGUUGGGUAGGGGAGCGUUCUGUAAGCCUGUGAAGGUGUACUGUGAGGUAUGCUGGAGGUAUCAGAAGUGCGAAUGCUGACAUAAGUAACGAUAAAGCGGGUGAAAAGCCCGCUCGCCGGAAGACCAAGGGUUCCUGUCCAACGUUAAUCGGGGCAGGGUGAGUCGACCCCUAAGGCGAGGCCGAAAGGCGUAGUCGAUGGGAAACAGGUUAAUAUUCCUGUACUUGGUGUUACUGCGAAGGGGGGACGGAGAAGGCUAUGUUGGCCGGGCGACGGUUGUCCCGGUUUAAGCGUGUAGGCUGGUUUUCCAGGCAAAUCC